AAAAAUAAUAACAAAAUAAUUUCAGAAAUCUUAAAAAGGAACAGAGACCUUUAACAUGCAUUUUCCGGCAGAAGAAACUCAUGAGAAAAACAGUAAAAGAACAACAUGUGAAACACCAUAGAAGAACUUGUAAGAACAUAGUAGAAGAACAACAUAAGAAACCUAGUAGAAGAACAUCAUAAGAAACACAGCAGAAGAAACACGUAAGAAUCACAGUAGAAGAAACGCAUAAGAAUCACAGUAGAACAUGCUAAAGAUUAGAAAAACCCUAAAUCGGAAAAGAUAAAGGUUUUUAAGGUAGAGUUUUUUGAAAGGAACUUUAAAAAUGUUUGGAGGUAUAGGGAAAGCAUGGAUCUAGAACAGAUCUAAUGAAAUCAGAAGAACCUCAAAAGUUAGGAUUUCAAAAGAACCUUGAUGGUGAGAAAGGCAUGGAAAGUCAUUGAUCUAAGCAGGAGAAGUCAAGAUCAGGCUCGAAUAACCAUGGCUGGCCGGAGCAAGGUCGGAGACAGCCAUAGAAAUCGAAUCGAACAACUUGUGGGCCCAGCUUCUUCGAGGUCAGGCCAUGAAACUUAAGUGUAGGACUUUAAUGGCCUUGGAAGCCAUGGAUUUCAGAGAUUUUU
RNAcentral lists this long non-coding RNA (620 nucleotides) under Nicotiana benthamiana. RNAcentral's name for it is "long non-coding RNA (NBEN_LNC005944)". The record is from RNAcentral. Lineage: Eukaryota; Viridiplantae; Streptophyta; Magnoliopsida; Solanales; Solanaceae.